UACGGAGGGUGCAAGCGUUGUCCGGAAUCACUGGGCGUAAAGGGCGCGUAGGCGGCUCAUGAAGUCUGUGGUGAAAGUCCGGGGCUCAACCUCGGAUCGGCCGUGGAGACUCGUGGGCUGGAGCACUGUAGAGGCGGGUGGAAUUCCUGGUGUAGCGGUGAAAUGCGCAGAGAUCAGGAGGAACACCGGUGGCGAAGGCGGAUCUCUGGGCCGUAACUGACGCUGAGGAGCGAAAGCAUGGGGAGCGAACAGG
RNAcentral lists this ribosomal RNA (253 nucleotides) under uncultured bacterium. Its description in RNAcentral is "partial 16S ribosomal RNA". It matches the Rfam family "Bacterial small subunit ribosomal RNA", at positions 524 to 776 of the family's 1533-position model. The record is from RNAcentral.